UUUUUUUGAGAAAAAAAUUGGGCUUUUAUUGGCAAUUACAAAAGUAAUAGAUUUUCUUACAUAAUACGUUCCUUCAGUAAUAUAUUUUUCAAGUAUUUUACCAUAGAAUUUCUAAAGUACUUUGUCAUUGACCCCAUAAUUUAUUAUAAAGUAGGUCCCAUAAUCACAUUUUUUGGAAGUUGCUGAAAUUGAGAUAAAAAAUAUUGUUUUUUUAUGAGAAAAACUGGACAAAAUACAGAAUGGCCAAAACUAGAUUAACUGGCUCAGUUAUGUCUACUAGGUGAAAGAAAAUACAGAAUCUGUUACUGUAGAAAUUUUAAGAGGUUUUGAGUCAGUUCCAGUAUAAAAAUAAGGCCAAAGUUCUCCUGUAAAAUCAUCAUUAAAAGUACAGAGAAGAGAUCUAUCAUUCAAAUUAUAAAAGGAAACCUCAUUCAUUUCACAGUCUAAAAAAAUGCCAAUCUUACUAGGUGUUACUUUUGGCAGCAGAAUAAUUUCCUUAUGGCCCAAUACAAUAUAAUUAUUCCGACUAGAUUACCAAAUUCUCCAUAAUCCAUCCUGUACUAAAAUUGGUUGACUCUUCCUCCUUGUGGGAGGAGAGUCACUACAGACACCAAGAAUCCAUUCAGGCAUGUCUUUAACUUCUACUUCCCGGUACUGCCUGCCACAAUUUUAUCCCUUAGAACCCAGAACAGCUGGGAGCAGAUAAAAUCUUCUUGGGUUAUGAGUUCCCAGAUGAUGCUGCUGGCCUGCGGACUGUACUUUGUGAACUUAUGCUGGAGCAGAUGGAUCAGAAACCCCGGCCAGAGGAUGCUCAGGACCCAUCAAGCCCCCGCGAGGAAGGACUCAGACCCCCAACCCCACCAAAUUAAAGCAGGCAAUGGAGAAUUAUACUGAAGGGAUUCUUCGGCUGGGCAAAAACAUGAUUAGAUCUGCAUUCUAAAGACUGCUCGCAGAGUAGAGGAUGGAUUGGAGCAGGGAGUCUACUGCAAUAGUACAGAUGCGAUAGUGAAGACUUCAUUUAAAGCAGCACCAGCAAGAAUGAGGAAGAAGGGAUUAAUAUGAAAAACGUUAAAGAGGUGGAAUGUAUAAGGCUCGAUGGCCGAAUGAUGGGAGGUAGGAAUAGGGAGUGUGUAGAAGGAGUCUAAGAUGACUCCCCGAUCUCUGGUUUGGGGGAAAAAAUGGGUGGGGAUAUCAUUAACUAGGGCAGGUAGUAAUAGGUACCCAGCCUCCAAGACGGCCUGUUCCAUGAUCCCUGCCUCCUUGUAUUCAUGCUCCUGUGUGAACUGAGGUCUGCAGCAAUCACCUGAGUGAGUCUGGAAGCAGAUUCUCCAGCCCAGCCAAGCCUUGAAAUGACAGCAACCCCAGCUGACAGCUAGACUGCAACAUGGUGAGACCCAAAGCCAGAACCACCUUCCUAAGCUACUCCCCGAUUCCUGUCUCUCAGAAAUUUUGUAAAAUAAUAAAGGCUUGUUUUACACUCCUAA
Long non-coding RNA from Homo sapiens (human), 1484 nucleotides. RefSeq lists it as uncharacterized. The transcript is spliced from 3 exons. NCBI's taxonomy places the organism in Eukaryota, Metazoa, Chordata, Mammalia, Primates, Hominidae. The record is from RefSeq and is a predicted model, not a curated record.